GACCUCCGGGAAGGCAGCGCGGAUUUUAACCAUCCUCUCAUCUGUUUGAAUGGGAAGAAGCAGCAGCGUGCAGGAGUGAUGGAGACUCUUCACUUGUAGUUACUGGAACUUAUUCUCGACUCUAAAAGGAGGAAACAGAUCUGCAUUUGUGUAUUUUGGAAAUUCCUUUCCCUUUUUCUUUUCUUUGGGGGAUCCUAGCCCGACUGGGGAUCAGGGAUAUUUUGGGGAGAAGAGAAGCUGUUUUACCCCCUCUCUUUCUCUCUCCUCACCAUCCUCCUGACUCACCACUCUGUGGGUUUUUUCUCCUUUAUUUUUUAUUUUCUUAAUUGACAGUUGGAUUCUGUUGAAGAUUUGAAAACAAAAACAAAAAACACUGAAAGAACAGCGGGAUUGUGUGUGUGUGUGUGUGCGUUUCUGUGCUUCCACGGACUCAUCGGGACUGGAGCAGGACAGCAUGGAGGGGGUUUUGGUUGGAUGUAUCGGUGAUGUUUGGGAGCUGCUGGUGCUGAGGAGGAGGAGAACAGGAAGACUGUACCUGCUGCUCUGCUGGCUGCUGGCUGCUCACACCACAGCGCACGAGCCUCGGUUCUGACCCGGACUCAGGUCUGAUCAUGCGGGUUCCUGCAUGUGUGUCCUGAGGCCCUGGAAGGUUUGACAAGCUUCAGCAUGUGAUCAAUGUUACCUAAGAGGUUUCUAGUUAUUGUUAUUUAUUAUAUCUUUAUUAUUCCUUAUGUUGCAUUUUUACCUUCAUUAUCAGCUCCAGUAACCGAGUUACUGGUGUAGCUGUGAGACUGCUGGUCCUUCCCUCGGUUCUUGUGUGUUUCAUGUGGCUGAUCUGUUGGCUGACUGAGGGUUUAUUCAACCUUUCUGGAUCUUUGCAGCCAGGUUAGACUGUCUCUGUGUUUUUUACCCACAGUCGCUUGUCUGCACUGGAUUUGCUUUAAUUCCCCUAAUUUUCAGUUAUUAUUAUUCUUAUUAUUAAAUUGCUUUUUGUAAGUCUUUCUGUUUCAUCUUCUUUUCAUUGUGCUGAAGUUUAGGCUGCUGAAUCAUAUUGGUGUGUAUGUUUAACUGCAUAUGCUUCUCUUCACCAAUUUGUCUCUGAUUUUUUG
Astatotilapia calliptera (eastern happy) is the source of this 1109-nucleotide long non-coding RNA. The record is from Ensembl. NCBI's taxonomy places the organism in Eukaryota, Metazoa, Chordata, Actinopteri, Cichliformes, Cichlidae.